Long non-coding RNA from Ruditapes philippinarum (Manila clam), 887 nucleotides. RefSeq lists it as uncharacterized. NCBI's taxonomy places the organism in Eukaryota, Metazoa, Mollusca, Bivalvia, Venerida, Veneridae. The transcript has 4 exons. The record is from RefSeq and is a predicted model, not a curated record.
CCGGUAGCACUUUAUCAUCCUAUGAAUAGAGGUUUGUUUCAAAUAGCAUAAGGAUCUAGUGAAAUUUGAUGAUUAAGAUGUUUAUUUCUUGGUAAUCCUUAAUCGCAUAAUACACAUCUAAUGAUAAAGAAGUUUUUAUAUAUUUAUGAGUUUAAAGGAGAGACAAGACUAAACUUUCUUGACAUACUAUGGGAAUAAAAGCUUAAAGUUAAGAUUCGGAUGAUUCAGAUCCAUUUGGGUUAAAUGUUUUCGUUCCCAAUAGUGAUGAAAAUGACACAGAUUCAGAAUUUGAUGAGCUGACAGUUGAUGAAGAGGAUUCCAGGUUUUCGACCAUUUCUGAAAUAAGUAAACAACAAACAAUGUUCACAUGUAUGUCUCUGCUAUGCCUCGGUCAAUUGCCUGAGAAGGUACAAAACCUUAAGAUCCGAACAAAAUUGUUCAAUGAACGGAAGAAUGUAAGAACGCCACAACCGAACAUUUAAAGAAAAUGUGAUACAAAAAAUAAUAAAAUAUGUACAUUCUCAGGCACUGGCAAGGUGUCUUACUUCGAACAAUGCCGACAUCUCAGGCACCUGAAACAUUUAAUUAUACACGAAAAAAUAAGCAAUUUUAAUGUUUAGAGUUAAGAAAUAAUAUCAGUCUUAGCGGUGUUUAUCGGCUAUUUAACAGCGGUUUGGAGUUUUGAUGCGUAUGGAUUGACCACUAAGGCCGUAGGCCUGAGUGGUCAAUGUUUUUUGCAUCUAAACGACAAAACCGUUGUUAAAUAGCUGAUAAACACCGCUAAUACUGAUAUUAUUCGAUUCUAAUACCAUAAAAUAAGGAAAAUAACUAAUGUUAUUUUUUCAAGCGGAAAUAACUUCCUGUGCCGAUUUUCGUAUAACGCUGUU